Molecule: long non-coding RNA, 526 nt
Filed under: Olea europaea (common olive)
Lineage: Eukaryota; Viridiplantae; Streptophyta; Magnoliopsida; Lamiales; Oleaceae
Description: long non-coding RNA (OEUR_LNC015114)
Source: RNAcentral
UUGUUAAGGGAAUAUAAUCCCACAUCGGUAAAAUACCGAAAUAAUGACCAAUAUAUAAAGAAUUGGGACACUCCUCUUAACAAGGUUGACCUUAUUGAGAUGGACCCCAAGUCUUAACAUGGUAUCAGAGCCCAUUAAGCUCCAACGAGCGAUUCGAUCCGAUUAAGUCUCUCAAAAUGAGCACACGGAUUUCAAGAAAAAAACUGAAGUUCUAAAAUCGGAACAUACAGUAUUUGUUAAGGGAAUAUAAUCCCACAUCGGUAAAAUACCGAAAUAAUGACCAAUAUAUAAAGAAUUGGGACACUCCUCUUAACAAGGUUGACCUUAUUAAGAUGGACCCCAAGUCUUGACAUGGUAUCAGAGCCCAUUAAGCUCCAACGAGCGAUUCGAUCCGAUUAAGUCUCUAAAAAUGAGCACACAGAUUUCAAGAUUGGUCUGCUCAAACGAGCCACCAUCUUGCGGGGGCAUGUUAAGGGAAUAUAAUCCCACAUCGGUAAAAUACCGAAAUAAUGACCAAUAUAUAAAG